UGCUUAUAAACACAUUUGCAUGAAACUAGCCCACUGAAUGAGCAAUGGGCUGUGAGGUCAGUUCCUUGGUUUAUAAAAACAUGUCCAGAUGAACAGAAUCAACAAUUUGGGAUUUACUUACCUGGAUGAUUGAGCAUUCAUCAAGACAUUUCUUGGCACUGAUUUGAGGACACUAUUAGGCUGAAAGACAGUCUUUCCAUUCCAUUUAACUUUUUAUUGUAUUACUUUCAAUAAAGUGUUCUUUUUAUCAUUGAAUCCAUCUCUCUUGCCAGGAUGUGUUUUCAAACCCAGGUAGCUUUUAAUUUAAUUUGUUACAUUUUCAAUCUUUUUAUUUCCUAGGGGUGAAAUUCCCUUAGGUGACAUUGCCGCAACACAUUUAAAUAACCCCCCUGACUGUACUGCCACAGAGUAAAUAUUUCUGUUAUGUUCUUUUAAGUACAAUUACAACACAUAAGUAAACAAUUGAGCAAUACUUCACCUAAACUGGGCUGAGUCUCGUAUGUCUAGAACACACUUCAAAGUCUGAAGCCACACUAUCAGCAGAUGAGCCAUGAUGGAGUUUGUUCACGUUGCUGUAGCUGUGCUUGGUCUUCUGUCUCUUGGACACUCAGCUCCUGUGACAAGCUGUGAGAAUCUAAUCCAGCUUCGUGAAAUCCACGGAAAUCAGCUGGUGGGAAAAUGGACACAAAUAGCAGAGAGCACAGGCAUACCUGGAUCCAAAACGCUGACGAAGAUGCUUGUGGAGACCGCCUGGAUGAACAUCACUGCUGCCAACGAGGCUAAUACAUUCAAUAAUCUUCAAAUUCAAAAAAUGAUGGGCAUGUGCUUCACAUUGAAAACCAACAUGACUUUGGUUAACAACACUCUCAAUAUGGUGCACAAUUACCAAUAUUCUGCUGUCCUGCUGAAUACUGGCUGUCCUGACUGCCUUGUUAUCUACUCAAAUAACACCAUUGGAAGAACCGCAGUCAAAGCUCUCCAGCUCCUGAGUAGGAGAGUUAAAGUGUCUGCUGCUGAGCUGGAAGAGUUUACAAAGCAGGCAGAGUGUCUGAACCUAGAAUCCCCUGCUAUCUUGGAUUCAGAAAAAGGGUUUUGCCCAGAUCCAGCGCUCGCCCCAGGAACUAAGACUAUUGAUCUGUCCUUGAGCAACAUAAUGCCCGAUGAUCUCAACCUAUCGGAGAAGCUAUUCACUGAGAGUGGAAUGAAGACCAUUUUGGACAUAGUCCAAAGUAGUAUGGAUCUAUUAAAGGAAGACUGACGUGGUCACAAAUGUCACUAAGUGUUGAUGAAGAAGCCAUGUCUGUCAAGAGCAUUACCACUAAAAUUAAACAUGCUAAAAAAAUAUGAGUGGCCGUCAUCUGUCAUCUAUCUUCAAAGCAAUUACAUUUAGCUUCACUGAACUGACAUAAAAUUGAAAAUAUUCAUUUGCUUUCUGAAUAAAUGGCCCCAAAACAUUUCUACUUUCUCUAUUUUAAGGAGAUAAUAGUGCAUGAGUAAAUGCCGAUCAGGCUCCAUGGUGCCAGGCAGCCAGCACGGCCUGCUAGAGGAGAUUGGGCCCUCAGGCCACCCUCAUGAAGUCUGUUUUUGAUUGAUUGGUCAGACACAUUCACACCAGUGGCCUGCUGGCAGCUCUCAUUUUCUUCCUCCUUGCAUAAGGGAGGAGAUAUCCAUCCUACUGAUCGGUUAAGGACCUUCUACGGCCCUGUCCAGCUCACCUAGAGUAACUGCGUGUCCCCUAGUGUCUGCUUCAUCCUCUUGAGACUGUGCUAGGAGACACAGCAAACCUUCUUGCGAUGGCUCAUAUUGAUGGUAAAUGACCUGUAUUUAUAUAGCGCUUUAAUAGUCCCUAAGGACCCCAAAGCGCUUUACAUAUCCAGUCAUCCACCCAUUCACACACACAUUCACACACUGGUGAUGGCAAGCUACAUUGUAGCCACAGCCACCCUGGGGCACACUGACAGAGGCGAGGCUGCCGGACACUGGCGCCACUGGGCCCUCUGACCACCACCAGUAGGCAACGGGUGAAAUGUCUUGCCCAAGGACACAACGACCGAGACUGUCCAAGCCGGGGCUCGAACCGGCAACCUUCCGAUUACAAGGCGGACUCCCAACUCUUGAGCCACGAUCGCCCCGGAUGUGCCAUCCUAGAGGAGCUGGACUAGCUGUGCAA
Molecule: long non-coding RNA, 2170 nt
Organism: Oreochromis aureus
Lineage: Eukaryota; Metazoa; Chordata; Actinopteri; Cichliformes; Cichlidae
Source: Ensembl